Molecule: RNase P RNA, 373 nt
Filed under: Cytophagaceae bacterium
Lineage: Bacteria; Pseudomonadati; Bacteroidota; Cytophagia; Cytophagales; Cytophagaceae
Description: RNase P RNA component class A
Rfam family: Bacterial RNase P class A
About the family: Ribonuclease P (RNase P) is a ubiquitous endoribonuclease, found in archaea, bacteria and eukarya as well as chloroplasts and mitochondria. Its best characterised activity is the generation of mature 5'-ends of tRNAs by cleaving the 5'-leader elements of precursor-tRNAs.
Source: RNAcentral
AGUGCAUACUGUCUUAUCGCUGUCUCAGAUCAAGAGAUAGAGGAAAGUCCGGGCAACACAGGGCGCCGUACUUCCUAACGGGAAGGGUUUGCCGACAAAGCGAAUACAGACAGGGCCACAGAAAAUAACCGCCAUGCUUCGGUGUGGUAAGGAUGAAAAAGUGAGGUAAGAGCUCACUCGUGUCGGUGAGAGCCGGCAUUGGGGUAACCCUUACGGGUUGAAAGGCCAAAUAGGUUCAGCUCCCUUCAAUGGGAUAAGGCGGCUCGCUAAAUAUACCAAGCUGAAUGGGUAGGUCGUUAAAGAGUAACGGCAACGUUGCUCGCAGAUAAAUGAUAAGACUCGACAGAACCCGGCUUAUAGGUAUGCACUGUAU